RNAcentral lists this long non-coding RNA (1455 nucleotides) under Homo sapiens (human). RNAcentral's name for it is "long non-coding RNA NONHSAT160269.1". Lineage: Eukaryota; Metazoa; Chordata; Mammalia; Primates; Hominidae. The record is from RNAcentral.
UUCCUCAGAUGAUCACACCCACUUUGCUUCACUUUCAUGUCCAGAGCUGCUUAGACUGAUUUCUGCAAAGUGCACAGGCAUUUUCAUGCUGAGGAUAAAGAUACAGAUUUUUAAAACAUAUUCUUAUGCAAGGAAGGAAAAAGUGUCGGACCAUGAUCGCUUGUCUGGACCCAGAAAAUAUUUCCCAUUUGCUACACAGAUGCCGUCUCAUCCUUCCAGAGUUCAAGACUUCAGCAGAAAAAAAAAUCACCUCAUUAAAGGAAAAUUGUGCCUUAUCCCCACUACUCGAAGAUGCAACCAUCUGCCUGGUCACAGCCACUUUUUUCCUUUUUUUCGCACUCCAUCGUAUGUGUGUGUGGUGGGGCAGGGGAUAAGGGGAAUAAUCUCUCUCCAGUAUAAGAAGGGAUCAAGAAGCAACAGGACUGCGGGAUGGGAUAGAAAAUAAUUUUCAUCUUAGCAAUAUUGAGUAUUCCAGUACAUGAGUAUUGUAUGUUUCUCAAUUCACUUAGAUCCUUAAUUUCCCUUAGUCAUGUUUUGUGAUUUUCAGUAUACAAAUCUUGUACUCUGUAUUAAACCAUUCUUGCAUUGCUGUAAGUGUGUGGCCCUUUACAGGGGGUCCCAGAGAGCCUUCUUUCUGCUAUGCGAGGAUACAAGAGGAAUUCAACAAUCUGCAAUCUGGAAGAUAACCCUCCCAGAACCCAAUCAUGCUGGCACCCUGAUUUUGAACUUUCAGCCUCCAGAACUGUGAGACAUCAAUGUAUUUUGCUUGUGCUGUGAACAAGAGAAUCUUAGCUCUGACGGGGAAUGUGUCAAAUGGAGAUAGAAGUUCAUGAAGCAGAAGCACAACAGGUGGUGGUUUGUCCUUUAAGCAAGUACUCAAUAAUUAAGGCUGAUCUCUUUGACUCUUCACUGGGAGCAGAAAAAGAGAGAGAGAUGCUGAAGAUGGAAGAAUGGACACAAUAGAAUUUGCUAUCCCUUCGUAUGUCUUGAGAUCUAGUACAAAGAUUCUGGGACAAGAAUAUUCGUGCUUUGUUUAGGGAACAGCAAGAGAAGUCACAGUUACUGGAGCAGAGUGACAGAUAAAGGGAGAGUUUUGCAGUUUUUUAUGAAGUUGAACAUACACAUAUCCUAAGAGCCAGUUAUUUCGAUCUUCUUUAUCAAAGGGAAAUAAAAACAUAUUUCUUCAAAAAGAUCUGAUUUUCUAAUUGUUAAGUGGUUGAUUUUCACACAUCAGCCUAAGCCUUUAGAAGAACCCUCAAGUUGAUUGAAUGUGUGGAUAUAGAUCUCACAGAUGUGGAGGGCUGGCUGUGUACACACACAGGGAGAAGACUGUAUGAAGAUACCAGCAAAAGGCAGCCAUCUACAAGCCAAAGAGAGAAGCCUUGGGAUGAACUAAUCCUGCUGAAAUCAUGACCUUGCAUAUUUUGCCUCUAGAAUUGUGAGAAAAUAAAGUUC